ACAGCAUAACUUGACAAGCGAUUCCAUGUCCACACCUGGGAUCCAAACCAGCACACCCCGGGCUGCUGACACGGAACGUGAGUACUUAACCGCUGUGCCACCGGGCUGGCCCCAAAACUGAUUAUUCUUAAUUGCAUCUAAAAUACUUUUAAAAUUUCUUCCCUGUGGUUUGAAGGGAAUCUUCUCCAGUAGCAGCUCAAUGCUCCAUCAGUUUGUUGGCAAGCACGAGCAGGCUUCAAAAUGAGAAAUGAGUAGGUUCUUAUCUUCCCAAAUGUAAAUUUAUAUGCUACUUCCUCUCAGAAGCUCUCCCUGACUUCAGGGCCAUUGGAGUUUGGAGUCUCCUAUGCAGAUACAAGCUAUUCAUUUAUAGAUUACAUAGUCUGGAUGAUAUAGAUCCUUGAACUUGUCACAUUGAAUUGAAGUAAAAAAUGCCAAUCUCAACACUCUCUCCUAUGAGUUUUUCUGAGAACAUUCAUCACUAUAUUCCUACCACCUUCUAUUCUACCUAGAACAUUGAAUACGCUCAAUGAACACUGGUGGAAUGAUGGAAAAAAUGGAAAAAAUUGCCAUUUACUUUUUAGCGUAUGUAGGAUAAGACUAAAUAUAUAUUCUAUGCCGCUCAGAUAUGACAUAUGUAUCUACAAACACAUUCUAUGUCACUCACAUAUGACAUGUAUCUCUAAACAAGAUAUUCCCUGAACAAAAUUUAAUGCUUUCAUUUUUUUUUUCCUUUUCCUUCUUCUAAUUUUAUCUUUCUCAUUUUUUAAAAACUUGCACAGGGAUUUUGUAUGUAAAUAUACUUGAUGGUGAUACCUCCUGUAAGUUUACCAGUAAGGAUUUCCCUACUAUCCCAAGAGUAAGCUGUGGUGCCCAGUGAUGCUCAGCGUUGCCCAUCAUGGAAUCUUAUCACACUAGAUUGUAUUGACUUCAUGGUGCUCCAAGUUCUGUGAAGGAAGGAACCAUUUUCUCUUGUUUACUACUGAACCCCAGUGCCCUGCAUGAUGCUGGACACCUACUCUCUGCAGGAGCUCCCAGAUGCUUCAAUGGCAACAGGAUUGCAGACCCCACAGGCAGGAAGCAGGUGCCUGGGGUGGCAGAUGCUGUGGAGGAGCUACCUUAAGAGUCUACAGCUGGAAUGGCCUGAACAGUCAGAGGGGAGGAGAGUUUUCUGCCUACUCGUCUCUUCAGGAAUUGUCAACAGGGAGAAUUCCCCUUACAAACAGUGGCCUCUCGUCUCUGCUUUUCUCCUAAGUCUACUGCUUGAAUAACUGAAUGACUCUUGAUUCUGCAAAGUGUUCUUGCCCGUCAUCAGGAUUCCGGCAAACGUGCUUUUGCUUGGUUUCAACAUGAGUAGAAGAGAGGAGGAAGAAAGGACUAUCAUACACAUAAUGCCUGUUGUGCAUUUGGAGUUUUCUGCAUGUUGCUACUUUCAAUUCUUGCAUCAACAUUUUGAAGCAGCCAUUAGUCUCUCUCUCUCUCUCUCCCUCUCUCUCUUUUAUUUUUUUUUUAAAUAAAGGACUGAAGUUUCUGGUUAAACGACUUGCAAAAUAACUCCCACAACCAAUAUAAAGCUGAGCAGAAAUUUUAACUCAAGUCUGUCCAUCUCGAACACCUACAUUUGCCUCACACACCUCUUACCCCAAGUCACAUACAAAAGCUAUUUUAAAAAAAUUUAUGUCAAUUAUUUGAUACAACAAAAAACCAAAAUCAUAACAACCACCUCGAGAAGCAUCAUUUCAUGCUUCAGUUAGAGCUGCCAGUCAAGUUAGAAAACAUUAAAAUAACAUAACAACCUUUAGCUGUUAACUAAAAUGUGUGUUAUUAUUCUUCACCAAGUGUGCUUUUCUGGUCUUCUGCUUGAUAUUUAAGCAGCCCUUUUAGAACACCAGCUCAAGUGUAAUGCAACAGGUUAAACCAGAAAAAGUAAACUGCUGCCUACGUGUCAUGAAGUUGCAAAAUUAUGUUUGUUGUUCUUUGUUUAUUUUCUUUUUGAGCUAAUGAGACUAUUUUGACAAACUUCAUCCACAGAGAAGGAGACGGAUGGUUAUAACUUGGCUCAGUUCUUCUUGUCAAGGGCAAUCAGUAGAUUGCCUGUUAUGAACAUGGCUAUUGCAAAUUACUCAAAUUAUGUCUGGGCUGUGGCAAACAUUCUCGUGAUGAACUUGAAAUUUGUCUGAUGAACUUGAAAAUUCUUCUAAGGCUCUUCCCCUUAUUACUCAAUUGCAUCCUGCAGGGACGCUGUCACUGGGACUGAAUUUAUAGAUAUCUCAGCCUCCAUCCUCUCCGUCAAUGGAGUUCAAGGACAUGUGCCAAAACUCCAUUUCUACUCUGACUUACUUCAACCACAGGGAAUCAUUAGCUUUCCCUCUUACAGCACUUACUGGAGAACCAUUCGACAAAGAGGACCCUCACUGGGUGGAAGAGCUAAUGGACCUCCAAAGUGACAGAGCAAAGCACUGACAGGGAUGGUCCUGUCAUUCUAUAUAGUAUAUUACAGGGAUAUGGUUACAUCGUGCCCAAUCAAUUUUCUUAAAAAUGGAAGCUUUGAUUUCAAAACCUGCCCGGGCUGGAGUAGACACAAUAAGGAAGAGCAGCUCAUUUUAGAGCUGGCUCUACUUUCAAUAGCUUCCCCCACUCACCAAUUCCUCGGAGCAGUUUACACAGAUUACUGCACAGUCCAUCAGCCCUUUUCUGCAGUGUUGCCUCGGGCAAUGGUUGCUAUUGGACAGCUUUCCUCUUUUUCCAGCAGUUCCAUAUUUCAAAUGAUUCAAGUGCCUUCAAGUGAAUCGCUUGAUAGAUUUCCAAAAUGAUCACUACAGGUCAAAUUCAGCUCAAAUGCUAUCCUUUACAAAGUUUUGAAAAUCCAUUUUUGCAGCAAAGCUGGUGAGACAUUUAAUGAGCUUCAAUUCAGAAGAGACACAUCCUUUUAACUUGAAUUUGGCCUCAAAACAUCUUUGGCUCAUUCAAAUGCCUCGCCAGCUUUUCAGUUACAAUGGCUACUUCUUUCACUCCAGUGAAAUAUACUGUAGAUAGCACCACUGCCCAAUUUCUUUAAAUUUCUGGAAAUGGUAUAAAAAUAAAUAUGAUAUAAAAUAUCCUGCUUUUAUUCAGAAUAUUUUGAUUCAAGGAGUUUGUGCUGACUUGCUUGCCUUCUCUACCCAGCUUCAUUUUGUAUAGGAUGUGUCUUAUUAUUAUUUAAUCUAAUUUUUUAAUGUUUCAAAACACACAAAUUCAGCACAGAAAACGGCUGUAAAUGAAUUAUAAAUAAAAGAAGGAGCAGACACAUUCAAAUAGACUUGGUAGUGUUUAAUCUAGAAAGGCUUAUUUGAAAGUUCUCUUAUCAGUCUAAUAAUAGUGAAUUAUAAUGACCUCCACUUAACAAACACAGGGGCACUAACUUUCUUAAUAGAAAGAUGAGAAGCAGGGGUCAAGUGUCUUAACCAGGUGUUACAUAAAUGAAAUAUAUGUGCAAUGCAGAGAUCUUAGAAAAUUCGUAAGGUUCAAAGAAGAAAAUAGUUGUAAAUCCUAUUAGCCUUUCUGUUUAGUUCUUUUUCCAAAUUGGAUUACUAUUGUGUGUUCAACUUUACAAUUUUAUAUCAUGAUUUUCACACAUAACAUGAUAUAAUGAGCAUUUUCAUAUCUUUAAAAUAUUUUGAAAAUUCCAGUUAUAUUGAAUUCAUCCAAGUAUAGGUCUAUUCUAAUUUAUAUAGACAUGUAAAUUCAGACGCUUUUUUCAAAGCUAUUACAAAUAAACGUGUGGUGAACAGGCUUAGAAAUAAAUCUACAGAUACAUUUUUGUAGGCUAAAUUCUCACAAACAAGAUAAAGAUUUUGAAACUUACUGAAAUAGUAUUUAUAGAAAAUGUUCAACAAAGUAUGCUCCCUCAAGUGGUGAAAAUGUUUUUACUGAACCCUCACCAAACUAUUUGUUUUGAAAGAAUCAUUAAAUAUUUGACAGGCAAACAAAAAAAAAAUAAUUUGCAUUUCUUUGUGGGGCUGAGUUUUUUUCACGUUUCUUGGUUAUUUGUAUUCCUUUUUAAGGGAAGAGGAUGUUCCUCUCCUUUGCCCAUUUUCCUACAGAGAUUUAAUUCCAGUGUUACUCUUAACUGGUUUAUGUGACUUCUUCAGAAUAUUGAUUCUUUGCCAUAUUUGUUGUAUGGUUUACUGAUAGUUUAUGUGCCUUUUUAAUUUUGCUUCAGAUUUACGAUAUUCAGAUCACAAAACACCGUUGCAUCAAGGCUGUUAAUAUUUUCCUUCCAUUACUUUUAGCUCAAAAGCUCCGUUCAAAGGCUGAUGUAAAUAAAUAUGCAAUUUUAUUUCCUGUUUUCAUUAAGACUUAUUUGUUUAUUAAUUACAUUAACUCUUGAAUUCAUUAAGAACAACUUUUUCUAUAGAGAAAGAAGUAAAUUUCAACUUUGAUUUGUUUUACCUGAUAGUCAUUCAAAUUUAUUGAACAGCCAGUCCCUCCAUUUUCCCCCCACUUAUGGAUCAUUCCUUAUUCUACACUAAGUUCCACUAUACACCAGGUUCUCUUUUACUAACCAGUCAGCCAAUGAUCUUUGACUUAGGGUGUAUUUUACAUUCGGCAAGAUCAAGUUUGCCUGUUUAUUUAUUGCUCUUGAAAAUCUCUCUGUCAAGCUAGUUUUAGGAUCAUGGUAUUCAUCUUAAAUUUUCAUUAGUUUGCUCUAUAAUUUCUAAUUAUUCACAGCACAAGUGAGUUUUUGAAAGAUCUGAAAAUGCACUGAAGAAAGAGAAAAUAACAAAAGGAAAAACAUGCAACUUAUCCCAAGAUUCACACUGUAACAUUUUAGAGCACAGACAAUUUCCAGAUCUCUACCAGAGGUGAUCGGUAGUUUUUCUACAAUUCUUCCUUGGCAAGUAAACAGAAAAGUGUUAGAGCACGAGAAAUUUGUUACAACACAGGAAAAUGUUUUCGAUUCAGUUUAUCAUACGAUUGUAAUUUAUUUUUAAAAUACUAGAAGAUAUAAUCUUAAUUUCUCUCAUAUUUGAAUAUAGAAAGGAAACUAUUUAAGGGGCUAGAUUCACAUACACCCCUUUACAUUGCUGCUCCGAUAUACUAAGUUACGUUUUAUUUAACUUGAAACAUAAUCCAGUUAGGAACGUAUCACAAAGAUACCCCUGGUAGUAAGCCACUCAUGCAAAAAUACUUCCCUUGUUUUCCUUAUUUUCCUAACCAUGAAGUAUUUCACUUACUCCAAGUGCAUCACAAAGUGCUCUAGCCAUUUAAUUCCUAAGUCCACUUCUGUAUGUAUUUACUCAACAGUAUCUUGGCGAUCGGAGGUGCUCAAUAAACAUUUGUCCAAUGGAGAAGAAUGAAUGAAACAUACUACUUAAAUGGAGUGCAGUACAAAAUGGCACAUUAUUAAUAACUACCCUGGAAUUCUUAGAAACAGCUGAUGCAGGAACAAAUGUAAGCCUUUUAUUCACAGCAAAGCCUGGGAGAUGAAUAGCUGGCACAUGCGAUGUGUGAUUUAUUCAUACGCACUAGUAGGAGAUUUAUAGGCAUCUAUUAACCUACUUGAGCUCCAGUUCUGUCUUAGGCUGGUCUUUUGUCAUGAUUAGCUAUGUUGUGACUCUGUGUUAAAUAACAGGUUGUCUGUGCUGAAAUAUGCGAGAAAUAUGAAGACAGAAGGCCAAAAUUAUUAUACAUGUGCAUCAUUCCAGCUAAACCACAGAUAUAUCUCUACUCGUACAUGUUAAAAAACUUGGACUUGUACCUCUGCACAAAAGCAAAGGAAUUUUAUUUCUGGACCUGAAAUCCAUUGUCAUAGACUGGAUUGUGUCUCCCACGUAAUUCCUAUGUUGCAACCUAACCUCCAGUAACUCCGAAUGAGACCAUAUUUGGAGAAACGGUCUUUAUACAGGUAAUUAAGUUAAAAUAGGGUCAUUAGAGCAGAUUCCAAUCUAAUAUGACUGGUGUCCUUGUAAGAAGAGGAAAUUUGGACACAGACAUGUACGGGGGAAGAAAACAAGAAGACACAAGGAGAGGACAGCCAUCUAAUAAGCCAAGGAGGGAGGGCUGGAAGGAUAGGCUACCCUCAUGGCCCUCAGAAGGACACCACCUUGCUGACAUCCUGACCUCAGACCGCCAGCCUCCAGAACAGUGAGAAAAUACAUCUCUGCUGUUUAAGCCGCCCAAUGGGUGGUACUUUGUUACAGUGGCCCUAGCAGACAAAUACGCCUGUGAACUAACAGAAAACACAGUGAAGCUCUAUGCUGAAAAAGACUAAGAAUUAUUUUGUUCUUUUCAACAUUAAUCUUAGUUUUGGAAGGGAUAAAUCCUACAUGCCUGCAUACUGUGAUGGGCCUGGUCUGACCUUCCUUGGGGUAAAACACCACCAGGAAAGUCACUGCUUUAGGGGAGACAUUGGAUUCAUCCCUUCAUCAAUCAAUUGGGAAUUCAAACUUAAUUCAUGGCAUCGCCCACUUCCAUAUGAUGCCCCCCUUGGAUCGGUAGAGAUAACUUGAACUUAUGGUUGACUAUCUAGAAGAGCAUGGGUGCACUUCACGCUUACAACGGGUAGCUCACUCUUGGCUUAGAAUGGGUAGCUUCGCUCUUAUUAAAGUCACUGUGUGCUUUCUACCUGUGUCUGCACUGACCUAAUAAAUAGAGCAAGAGAAGACGUAUGUGGGGAGGAUCCAUUUCCACUCCCCUCCAUCACCAACCCAGGUUCACAGAGGACAGAAAUGGGGUGUAAAGUUCAUAAAUGGGGUAAAUGUAACAGCACUGCCCGAGUCACAGGAAAGCCACCAUGUCAAGGGCGAGGAAAGGUUGCAGUUCUGUUUAUGCUGACAGAGCAUACAGGGCAACUCUUACACAGAUCUGCUGCUAUCAUUUAUCAGCUCUUCCAAGCCUGGGCUGCUGCCCACUGGGGCAACUCAUCCUCCCUGUGGACUGCAGCUGGCUCUUGGAGCCAGGCAGGAUUUGCUGACAUGUUCUAAGUUCAUAAGGAUAAGAUGCAUUUUUCUGUGCCAUCUUAAUAAAACAACAUGGAAUAAAGUUUUAUAAUAACAGUAGAGAGAGGAAAAAAGUCAUAAUUUUCCAUGCUUCACCAUUCAGAAUAAUUAAUUUAAUAACUGUGUCAUACGAGAAGAGCAAAUAAAGAGCAGGAAAGGGGUGUGGAUAUAUAUGAUCACUGAAGCAUAUAAAACUGCAAGGAAAAACAAAUUACCAGGGUAGUGCUGGAAAGAAAAGCUCGGUGGGAAAUAUUUUUUGGAUGCUAAUUUGAUUCUUCUUCUAUGCAGUCUUAAAGCUGCAGUGUCUACAAACACACUAUUUAUUUCCACUUGUUUUCAUGUUUAGCAUUUAUAGAAACUUAUGUCUCUAAAAACCAAUUAAACACCUUCCUGAUCUCUACUAGACAUUUUCUCUAGGUAAUUCUCUACCUAGACUGUAAAAGGACUAUGAUUUCAUUGACAACAUCCUGCUGGACAGUGUUUCAUCAUCAGAGGUGUUCCAAAAAGUAUUAAAUUAAUAAACGAGGGUAGAAUCAAAAUAAGAUGCAGUUUUCUCUGGACACGGUUACAAUUUCUGGGGUUCGGUUCACAAUAAACAUUGAGACGCUAGAUCUUCGACGAGCAGCCUGCUUUGUCAUCCCACAGUUUGUGGGGUUGCAAGAAGGGACUAUUUUUGAGUAUGAGCAUUUGUGUCUCGUCCCACACCAGAAAUAUAGACUUUUAAGCGAGUAAAUAAUUAUUUCUAUUAAAUCAGUAGAUACAAAAGUAAGUCUUCCUUUACUUGGUCAGGUAAAACUCAGAUCUUAUCUACUGUAAUUCUAUUUAUCUUCUUCAAUACUAAAGAUACCAGCCUUGUCCCUUCUCAUAUUAAGACUCUUGAUUCUGCCAUUCAACAGCUGGACCACAUGCAUCACAUUCUACUAUAUUCCCAGAGCUCAACACCCCCUCCCACUUCCAGGUCUCUCUGAUGGCCUGCCCUUAGUGCCAGUCACCA
This is a long non-coding RNA of Equus caballus (horse), 7971 nucleotides long. RefSeq lists it as uncharacterized. NCBI's taxonomy places the organism in Eukaryota, Metazoa, Chordata, Mammalia, Perissodactyla, Equidae. The record is from RefSeq and is a predicted model, not a curated record.